RNAcentral lists this ribosomal RNA (444 nucleotides) under uncultured soil bacterium. RNAcentral describes it as "bacterial SSU rRNA". It matches the Rfam family "Bacterial small subunit ribosomal RNA", at positions 26 to 518 of the family's 1533-position model. The record is from RNAcentral.
AGAACGAACGCUGGCGGCAGGCCUAACACAUGCAAGUCGAACGCUCGUAGCAAUACGGGAGUGGCGCACGGGUGAGUAACGCGUGGGCACCUGCCCGGUGGUUUGGGAUAACCGUGGGAAACUGCGGCUAAUACCGGAUACGCCCCUAGGGGGAAAGAUUUAUCGCCAUCGGAUGGGCCCGCGUAGGAUUAGCUAGUUGGUGAGGUAACGGCUCACCAAGGCUACGAUCCUUAGCUGGUCUGAGAGGAUGAUCAGCCACACUGGGACUGAGACACGGCCCAGACUCCUACGGGAGGCAGCAGUGGGGAAUAUUGGACAAUGGGGGCAACCCUGAUCCAGCCAUGCCACGUGAGUGAAGAAGGCUUCGGGUUGUAAAGCUACUUUGGCGGGACGAUAGAUGACGGUACCGCAGAAUAAGCCCGCUAACUCGUGCCAGCAGCCGAC